This 460-nucleotide ribosomal RNA is filed under the name uncultured bacterium. RNAcentral describes it as "partial 16S ribosomal RNA". It matches the Rfam family "Bacterial small subunit ribosomal RNA", at positions 338 to 795 of the family's 1533-position model. The record is from RNAcentral.
CCUACGGGUGGCAGCAGUGAGGAAUAUUGGUCAAUGGGCUUACGCCUGAACCAGCCAAGUCGCGUGAGGGAAGACUGCCCUAUGGGUUGUAAACCUCUUUUGUCAGGGAGCAAUUGGCGCUACGUGUAGCGUUCUCGAGAGUCCCUGAAGAAAAGGCAUCGGCUAACUCCGUGGCAGCAGCCGCGGUAAUACGGAGGAUGCGAGCGUUAUCCGGAUUUAUUGGGUUUAAAGGGUGCGUAGGCGGAAGGCCAAGUCAGCGGUAAAAUCGCGGGGCUCAACCCCGUCGUGCCGUUGAAACUGGCGUUCUUGAGUGAGCGAGAAGUAUGCGGAAUGCGUGGUGUAGCAGUGAAAUGCAUAGAUAUCACGCAGAACUCCGAUUGCGAAGGCAGCAUACCGGCGCUCAACUGACGCUCAUGCACGAAAGCGUGGGUAUCGAACAGGAUUAGAUACCCCAGUAGUC